UGCCAGCAGCCGCGGUAAUACGGGGGGUGCAAGCGUUGUUCGGAAUUACUGGGCGUAAAGCGCGCGUAGGCGGCUAUUUAAGUCAGAUGUGAAAGUCCAUGGCUCAACCGUGGAAGUGCAUUUGAAACUGGAUGGCUUGAGUACUGGAGGGGGUGGUGGAAUUCCCGGUGUAGAGGUGAAAUUCGUAGAUAUUAGGAAGAACAUCGGAGGCGAAGGCGGCUGUCUGGCUUGAUAUUGACGCUGAUGCGCGAAAGCGUGGGUAGCAAACAGGAUUAGAUA
Molecule: ribosomal RNA, 279 nt
Filed under: uncultured bacterium
Lineage: Bacteria
Description: partial 16S ribosomal RNA
Rfam family: Bacterial small subunit ribosomal RNA
Source: RNAcentral